CGACGAGACCCGCGGCCGAUCAGCGGCCUACUGUCAGGUGGAACUGAGGAGCCGAGGCCGCCGGCUUUGACUCAUUCAGACCUCGCGACUUCCGGCUAGCGAAGAGAGAGAAUGAAGUGCUUCCGCCUCGCACUUUCGCCAGGCGCGUGGGCAAUCAUGGCUCUAAUUCUCUGAAGAUUAAUUUUUAUCUACAAGAUAGGUCAGAAUUAUAGGGAAGUGAAGAAAAUAUAAAGGUGUCAGAGGAAAAUACUAGAGUCCACGGUUUUGUCGAAAGUGCAUGCUGGUGACGAGAGGGCAUGCCCUCCAAGCCGGAAGUGGAUGGGGCGGUGUCACGUGUUCCGCUUCGCUGGAGGAGGUGGACACUUGUCUUGGAAUCUUGGCUGGCGAACUCUCCUCCCUGCGCCCGGGGCUGGACUUCGCUAGGACGUGGAAGCCUCCACCUGGAUUGCGAGCUUUACUGGCAGUGUGGAAGGCUGGAGUGUAAUGGCAUGAUCUUGACUCACUGAAAACCUCUGCCUCCCAGGUUCAAGCGAUUCUCCUGCCUCAGCCUCCCGAGUAGCAGGCAUUACAGGUAUGCACCACCACACCCAGCUAAUGUUGUAUUUUUAGUAGAGACAGAGUUUCUCCAUGUUGGUCAGGCUGGCCUCGAACUCCCCACCUCAGGUUAUUCACCCGCCUUCGCCUCCCAAAGUGCUGGGAUUACAGGCCUGAGCCACCACACCCAACCACUUUUUAUUUUUUUUUAAGACAGAGUCUCACUCUGCCACCCAGGCUGGAGUGCAGUGGCAACAUGAUAGUUCCCUUUUGCCUUGAACUCCUUUGUCUCCAACUUUAGGUACACGCCACUGCAUCGAACUAAUUGUUUUUUAUUUGUUGUAGAGAUGAGGGAUCCCACUAUGUUGCCCAAGCUGGUCUCAAACUCCUGGGCUCAAGCAAUCCAUCUGCGUCAGCCUCCCAAAGGGCUGAGAUUAGCAGUGUGAGACACUACACCUGGUGGCUUUGUUAUUUUAAAAUAAAUAACUUUCUAGAAUGGAAGGGGCUUAAUGA
RNAcentral lists this long non-coding RNA (1047 nucleotides) under Piliocolobus tephrosceles (Ugandan red Colobus). RNAcentral's name for it is "lncRNA (ENSPTEG00000021279.1)". The record is from RNAcentral. Lineage: Eukaryota; Metazoa; Chordata; Mammalia; Primates; Cercopithecidae.